AUGUCUCAUCACCAGUACCAACUUCCUGUCUUCCUAUCACACAUUUCCAUUCUCCCCUCUUCUGUUUCCUCCAGAUAUAAUGAAGACUAUCAGACCAUGGGGCUUCAUUUUCUCACUUUUUUCAGUUUCCUUCUUCUUCCAGAUGCUCACAUUGACCUCAGCAUGGAGUCACUCUUCAUUAAGCAAAUAUGUCCUCUUAAACAAAAGAGACAAAAGGAUUCUACUCCAAAGGAAUAUAAACAGCAUGUUGCAGAGCAGUUCCAAGGAUAACCAUAUCUAAAGAGCUAGACUGGUGUAGCAAAGGAGUUUGUAGCUCUGAUCUGAAAUCAAGAAAAUUAGUCCCAAGUUAGUCUAGGAAAACACACCAUGAAGGACGUGUUCUAGGUAAGAUACCUUAUUCCUCUCUAGCACCUCUCCUGCACCUAUGUAGGUGUGAGAUUAUAUUCACAAUUUUUUUUCAAUGUAGUGUUAAAUUCCAAUGUUAAUUUUUCAGAUUUCAACAGACAGGGGAAAGAAAAGGGGAAGAUUGAGAGGAAGAGAGAGAAAAAGGGAAACCAAGAAAGAGAGAGAAAGUAGCCGGGAGGGAUGUAGAAGAAGCAUCAUUUUGCCCAAUUUCUAAUUAUCCAGUACACACACACACACACACACACACACACACACACAGAGAGAGAGAGAGAGAGAGAGAGAGAGAGAGAGAGAGAGAGAAAAGAGAGAGACAGGGAGAGGGAAAGGGAGUUAGUAUAUUGAUAAGACAGAAGAGGUAUCAAAUACUAGACAUUCCCAAAUCAAUUUGACUAAAGAAUACUUUGGGCCUUUAAAUAUACUGAGAAAACCCA
This 836-nucleotide long non-coding RNA is filed under the name Sarcophilus harrisii (Tasmanian devil). RNAcentral describes it as "lncRNA (ENSSHAG00000022946.1)". The record is from RNAcentral. Lineage: Eukaryota; Metazoa; Chordata; Mammalia; Dasyuromorphia; Dasyuridae.